GAAGUACUCCCUCCGUUCGAAAUUAUUUGUCGUGGAAAUGAAUGUAUCUAGACGUAUUUUAGUUCUAGAUACAUCCAUUCUCGAGACAAGUAAUUCCGAACGGAGGGAGUAGAAG
Molecule: non-coding RNA, 115 nt
Organism: Triticum aestivum (bread wheat)
Lineage: Eukaryota; Viridiplantae; Streptophyta; Magnoliopsida; Poales; Poaceae
Source: Rfam